Molecule: ribosomal RNA, 442 nt
Filed under: uncultured bacterium
Lineage: Bacteria
Description: bacterial SSU rRNA
Rfam family: Bacterial small subunit ribosomal RNA
Source: RNAcentral
AGCGAACGCUGGCGGCAGGCCUAACACAUGCAAGUCGAACGAGACCUUCGGGUCUAGUGGCGCACGGGUGCGUAACGCGUGGGAAUCUGCCCAAAGGUUCGGAAUAACUCAGGGAAACUUGAGCUAAUACCGGAUAAUGUCGCAAGACCAAAGAUUUAUUGCCUUUGGAUGAGCCCGCGUAGGAUUAGCUAGUUGGUGGGGUAAAAGCCUACCAAGGCGACGAUCCUUAGCUGGUCGAGAGGAUGAUCAGCCACACUGGGACUGAGACACGGCCCAGACUCCUACGGGAGGCAGCAGUGGGGAAUAUUGGGACAAUGGGCGAAAGCCUGAUCCAGCAAUGCCGCGUGAGUGAUGAAGGCCUUAGGGUUGUAAAGCUCUUUUACCCGGGAUGAUAAUGACAGUACCGGGAGAUAAGCUCCGGCUAACUCCGUGCCAGCAGCCG